GACGAACGCUGGCGGCGUGCCUAAUACAUGCAGGUAGAACGCACAGUUUAUACCGUAGCUUGCUACACCAUAGACUGUGAGUUGCGAACGGGUGAGUAACGCGUAGGUAACCUGCCUGGUAGCGGGGGAUAACUAUUGGAAACGAUAGCUAAUACCGCAUAAUAUUGAUUAUUGCAUGAUAAUUGAUUGAAAGAUGCUAUUGCAUCACUACCAGAUGGACCUGCGUUGUAUUAGCUAGUAGGUGAGGUAACGGCUCACCUAGGCGACGAUACAUAGCCGACCUGAGAGGGUGAUCGGCCACACUGGGACUGAGACACGGCCCAGACUCCUACGGGAGGCAGCAGUAGGGAAUCUUCGGCAAUGGACGAAAGUCUGACCGAGCAACGCCGCGUGAGUGAAGAAGGUUUUCGGAUCGUAAAGCUCUGUUGUAAGAGAAGAACGGGCGUGAGAGUGGAAAGUUCACACUGUGACGGUAUCUUACCAGAAAGGGACGGCUAACUACGUG
Molecule: ribosomal RNA, 505 nt
Filed under: uncultured bacterium
Lineage: Bacteria
Description: partial 16S ribosomal RNA
Rfam family: Bacterial small subunit ribosomal RNA
Source: RNAcentral